RNAcentral lists this ribosomal RNA (490 nucleotides) under uncultured bacterium. RNAcentral's name for it is "partial 16S ribosomal RNA". It matches the Rfam family "Bacterial small subunit ribosomal RNA", at positions 28 to 507 of the family's 1533-position model. The record is from RNAcentral.
GAUGAACGCUAGCUACAGGCUUAACACAUGCAAGUCGAGGGGCAGCAUGGUCUUAGCUUGCUAAGGCCGAUGGCGACCGGCGCACGGGUGAGUAACACGUAUCCAACCUGCCGUCUACUCUUGGACAGCCUUCUGAAAGGAAGAUUAAUACAAGAUGGCAUCAUGAGUUCACAUGUUCACAUGAUUAAAGGUAUUCCGGUAGACGAUGGGGAUGCGUUCCAUUAGAUAGUAGGCGGGGUAACGGCCCACCUAGUCUUCGAUGGAUAGGGGUUCUGAGAGGAAGGUCCCCCACAUUGGAACUGAGACACGGUCCAAACUCCUACGGGAGGCAGCAGUGAGGAAUAUUGGUCAAUGGGCGAGGGCCUGAACCAGCCAAGUAGCGUGAAGGAUGACUGCCCUAUGGGUUGUAAACUUCUUUUAUAAAGGAAUAAAGUCGGGUAUGUAUACCCGUUUGCAUGUACUUUAUGAAUAAGGAUCGGCUAACUCCGUG